Molecule: long non-coding RNA, 1187 nt
Filed under: Monodelphis domestica (gray short-tailed opossum)
Lineage: Eukaryota; Metazoa; Chordata; Mammalia; Didelphimorphia; Didelphidae
Description: lncRNA (ENSMODG00000043356.1)
Source: RNAcentral
UAACUUAAUAACUGUAAUAUGUGUUCUGAUUGUUCCACUAAUGUCAUUCCCUAUCUCUCUUCCUCUCCCUCAGGCCUCCCUAUUCCCUGAGACCCAGCAAUAUUGAAGUUAGGUCAAUUAAUAAGCCAACAGUGACCUUCAAGUAUUCAAGCCAAAGGAAGAGUCUAUCAAUGGGGCAAACUUCAUUGUUGUCUUAUAUUAAGAAAUUGCUACAAUCCAUUGCAACCUUUACCAAUCACCCAGCUGAUUAGUCAGAAGCAAGACCCUGAAUCAACAAAAAGAUUCCUACUCCCUGAAGGCUCAAACGAUGCUUCUCUCUCUUCCUUGACACUUAUCUGCAGUACCCAGCAUGGACACCAUCAAUGUUCUCAUUAAAUUAAAUUAUGAACCCAGUCCUACUCCCCUCUGCAGAGAAUGAAGUAUAAGGGAGACUGGGAGGUGAAUUUAUGCCUCCAUGUGUUGGGAAGAAGUUCAGGAAAAGUGGAGAGAAUGAAUAAAGAACUAAAACCAAUAAUUGGUAAAUUAUGUGUAGAAACACACUUGAAAUGGCCUGAUAUUUUGCCAUUAGCUUUAUUUUACCUAAGAACUAGACCAAGAGGAGAUUUGCACAUAUCACCAUAUGAAAUGUCAUUUUGACUUCCACCCAUACAAGCAAAGACAUUUAGCUCUAUUUAUGCCUCAAUGUUAACUGGUAACACGAUAAUUGAAGAAUAUAUUAGAGAUUUGCAGAUUAAGAUCAAGGAAUUAUAAGAAUUAGGACCAAUAGUGCAAACAAGGACCUAUAGACUUUUUGUUUCCUGAUCUACAUCCUGGGGAUACAGUGUAUGUAAAGAACUUUCAAUGCACUGGAGGAACUCAGCCAGUCUGGGAAGGUCCAUUUUAAGUACUCUUGACAAUCCCUACAACCAUCAAGAUAGGAGAAAAAACAGCAUGGAUACAUUGUUCAAAUGUGAAAAAGGGACCUGCCAUCUAAAAUGAUUAGCUGCAUACAUAGAGGACAAGACUACAGAUACAACUGGACAUUUUUUAAAGGACUUUGAAAUUCAAGAAGACUACAAAUGGACAAUUGGACAAUAUUUACAAGAACACUCCAUUACUACAAGGACUACUACAAAUGGACAUAAGUUUAAGGAUAUUGAACUUUGCACUUAAAUAAAGGUUUCUCAUACAUAAAGGUUUGAAAUGGA